GGUCUCUAGAGCCAGACAGGAUACGGGCUCUAGAGCCAGACAGUGUGCCGGCUCUAUAAUGUGUCAUCUUGAGCAGUUAUAUACUGUCUCUAUGCUUCAGGUUCCUCAUCUUCAAAAGGGGGAUGGGAUAGUAAUCAUUUCAUAAAGGCUGAGAGUUCAGUAGCACAGGCACAGUGCUUAGAACAGUGUCUGACCACAUGUUAAGCUCUUUAAAAUGUUAAUUAUAGCCAAAGAAUGUACCACAUUUUAUAGGUUUAGGCCUUUGUCUUCAGAUUUAGGAGUAGCAUAUUUAAAUUUCUGAGUUUGAAUUAUGCAGCCUGUGGCUUCCCUCCUUUGGGACAAAUGAUGGAAGUUGUUGUUGAGUAAUUUGUAAUUUGUGUGCUCAAUUUAUAAAAGGAAAAUUGCUGAGACAUCACAUAAUUCCAACUGCAGAAGUUUAGAAACUGUCAUCAGCUUUUUUCCUGUCACUAUUACUUUUUUGACUCUAUCAAUUUGAAGCUAUUCAGUUUUCAUUAUACUAGAUCUGUAACCUUUCAGUUUCUGCAGAGAAUUUUUAAUAUUUUGUAAAAUCAGGAACAAGGUAAAACAGGAUAGUUGAAGACACAUUGUUGAAAAGAAAAAGAUGAACAGAUGUAGCAGGAACCUGAGAUGAGAUCAUUAUGAGAGUAGAAAACAAUCUAACUGAGUUUCUUGGCAAAUGAGUGAGGAGUGUAUUGAGUUGUAGUCUUGUUUGGGUGUAAUAGCAAACAGAUGAUUUUUUUGCCUAGCACUGUCAUUAAGAUACUGAGUGGGUUGAUGAUCCAAUGGGAGUUUAUUUUAUCUGUUAAACAAUUCAAGGGAGAACUUUAAAUCUUAAUUCAGUGAAGGCAUCUUUUAGGGAAUUGAGAUAAUCAGAAAUUUGCUGUCUCACUAUAUUACUAAUACAGGGGGAAAGAAUUUAGUCUUAGAAAGUUUAGAAAGGCCAGGAGCAGUAGCUCAUGCCUGUAAUCUCAGCUUUUUGGGAGGCCAAGGCAGGAUGAUCCCUUGA
This 1027-nucleotide long non-coding RNA is filed under the name Homo sapiens (human). Its description in RNAcentral is "HSALNT0327551". The record is from RNAcentral. Lineage: Eukaryota; Metazoa; Chordata; Mammalia; Primates; Hominidae.